UUGGAGCGGUUAUGAAGGUGGUUUAGCAACAUUCUCUUGGCUAUCCUUUCAGGGGUCAGGGGGUAACUCUCCCUGAGAGCGGGAUCCUGUCUUCGCGCCCAGAAGGCUUCAUUCUCGAGAUAAGGCGUGACCCUGAGAAGCCCCAGAGAGUUGUAAGAAGUUCCAUGUAGAAGUUCUUCCAUCAUUGGCUUCCUAUAUGAAUGUGUAGUUUCCUGAUUCUACUUCACAGCCUAUAAUCAUGGACUUGUUUAUGUGACCUUCCAAGCCAAUAACAAUUCAACUGGCUGGGCUUCUCAUUUUUCUUGAAGAUUAAUGAGUUACACUGGAUAUGCUGCUGUUCUUUAUUUUGGGAUUGCUCGUACAUUUUGUGUUCUUCGCCUCCAUCUUUGAUAUUUAUUUUACAUCUCCUUUGGUUCAUGGAAUGACUCCUCAGUUUACGUCAUUGCCUCCUCCAGCAAGAAGAUUAGUGCUGUUUGUUGCUGAUGGCCUGCGAGCAGAUUCACUUUAUGAGUUAGAUGAAAAUGGAGAUUCCAGAGCACCAUUUAUUAGGAAUAUCAUAAUGCAUGAAGGCAGCUGGGGGAUUUCUCAUACUCGUGUGCCAACUGAAUCUCGGCCAGGUCAUGUCGCCCUAAUAGCUGGUUUUUAUGAAGAUGUCAGUGCAGUUGCCAAAGGAUGGAAGGAAAAUCCUGUAGAAUUUGAUUCUCUUCUUAAUGAAAGCAAGUACACAUGGGGCUGGGGAAGCCCGGAUAUCUUGUCUAUGUUUGCCAAAGAUGUUAGUGGAGACCAUGUUUUUAUACAUACUUAUGAUGCUGAUGAUGAGGAUUUUGGUGCUCAUGAUGUAACAAAACUGGAUACGUGGGUUUUUGAUAAUGUUAAGGAAUUCUUUCGUGCUGCCAGAAACAACCAAUCUUUGUUUUCUAAACUAAAUGAAGAGAAAAUAGUUUUUUUCUUACAUUUAUUAGGAAUAGAUACAAAUGGACAUGCUCACCGACCAUCAUCGAGGGAAUAUAAGGACAAUAUUAAAAUAGUUGAUGCAGGAAUAAAAGAAAUGGUGUCUAUGUUUAAGCAUUUUUAUGGAAAUGAUGGGAAAACAGCAUUUGUCUUUACGGCUGACCAUGGAAUGACAGACUGGGGUGUCCAUGGGGCUGGUCAUCCUUCAGAGACUUUAACUCCUUUUGUCACUUGGGGAGCUGGAAUCAAGUAUCCCCAAAACGUAUCAACUCAGCAAUUUGAAGAUGCGUUUUUGAAAGAAUGGAAAUUGGAGAACUGGAAGAGGCAAGAUAUCAAUCAGGCUGAUAUCGCACCAUUGAUGGCUUCUCUUAUUGGGGUUCCCUUUCCCCUUAAUUCAGUGGGGAUCCUUCCUUUGGAUUAUCUUAACAACACUGAUCUCUUCAAAGCAGAGAGCAUAUUUACAAAUGCCAUACAGAUCCUUGAACAGUUCAAGGUGAAAAUGACUCAGAAAAAAGAAGUUACUUUAUCAUUUUUGUUUACACCGUUUAAGUUGCUUUCUGAGUCUAAACAGCACAACAUUUUAAGAAAAGCAAGAUCUUAUAUAAAACAGAGAAAGUAUGAUGAAGCAAUCUCCCUUUGCAAGGAGCUGAUUCAUCUUGCAUUGAAAGGAUUGUCCUAUUAUCACACUUACGACAGAUUCUUUUUGGGCAUCACCGUUGUUCUUGGUUUCGUGGGAUGGACAUCUUAUGCUUCUUUGUUGAUCCUUAAGUUUCAUUCCAACCUUCCCAGAGGUGGUAGUAAAGAAGUUAAGAAACCAAGCCGUCUCCUGCAAUAUAGUUUUGUAGCUAUUGGUGUUUUAGUAGCAUUUUUCCUGCUGAUUCAAGCAUAUCCCUGGACUUAUUACAUCUAUUGUUUAUUGCCAGUGCCAAUAUGGUAUGCGGUUCUAAGAGAAUUUCAAGUUAUUCAAGACCUUGUUGCAUCACUCUUGAGCUGCCCUCCGAGUCAUUUUGUUGGAUACCUGUUAGUCUCUACCCUGGGAAUUGAAGUAUUAGUUCUCAGUUUUUUCUACCGCUAUAUGCUUACAGCUGGACUUAUUGCGUUUGCGGGUUGGCCAUUUAUCACUCAGUUGUGGACUCGAGCAAAGAGGACCUCACUGAAUUGGAUUUUCUUCUCUUUGCUCCUGGCAGUGUUCCCUCUGAUGCCUGUUGUAGGACGAAAGCCAGAUAUCUCUCUAGUAAUGACUGCCGGCUUGCUGGUUCUUCUCCUAUCCCUGUUUGUUGUAGCGUCUCUCACAAAAAGAAAAGAUAGUUUUGUAAAUGAAGAGCUACCAUUGCAUCUAUUACAGAUGCUGAGCAUGGUGCUUUCCAUGUACGUUGUGUAUAGCACCGAUAAUAGUCUACUCAAGAAACAAGGACUUCCUCUUAUUAACCAGAUCAUUAGCUGGAUAAUAUUAGCCUCUUCCUUCGUCCUGCCGCUACUGAGCCCCCCGAUUCUUUUUGAGCGAUUGUUUAGCAUACUUCUUUCUCUGAUGUCAACCUACAUACUUCUAAGCAGAGGGUAUGAAGCUCUCUUUCCAUUAGUAUUGUCAUGUUUGAUGUUUGCCUGGAUACACAUGGAACAAGAAACCCUACAACAAUCUGGUGUUUCCUGUAAACAGAAGGUCAACAGUAUCCAGUUCAUCUAUAAUACUGAUCUAACCCAGCUCCGACAGCUCUGUCUGGAUGACAUCCGGAGGGCCUUUUUCCUUGUUUUCUUCUUAGUGACAGCAUUUUUUGGAACUGGGAAUAUAGCUUCUGUUAACAGCUUUGAUGUUACCUCUGUCUAUUGCUUUCUGACCGUGUUUAGUCCCUUUAUCAUGGGAGCCCUGAUGAUGUGGAAGAUUUUAAUCCCCUUUGUUCUUGUGAUGUGUGCUUUUGAAGCAGUUCAGUUAACUACCCAGUUAUCAUCAAAAGGUCUUUUCCUCAUGGUUCUCGUCAUAUCAGACAUUAUGGCUUUGCAUUUUUUCUUCUUGGUCAGGGAUUAUGGCAGCUGGCUUGAUAUUGGAACAAGAAGUUUUCAGAAAUUAUUCAGAGGAUUGGAUUUUUGCACCACAAAGAGCUUCUAUCCCAACCCGAGGAAAAGCUAGGAUAAGUUAAGCGGUGAUCGAGAAAAGGAUUAUUGAGAAAGCAUCAGCCACUACGUGAUUGUCAUGUCCAUGACCAUGGUUCUGGUCUUUCUCAAUGGCCUGGCACAGCUGCUCACGACAAAGAAACUCACACUGUGUGGCAAACCCAAAAGCCAUCUCAUAUGAUGGUGCUGAAGCCGUCAUUCAGCCUCUGGAUCUCGUUUCCCCUUCUCCUUGUAAACUAAAAUCUUAUCAAGGAUUCCAUAGGAAGAUGGAUAUUGAUGCACAGAUGCCACCACAGCGUGGCUUGACGACUGGUGCUAGAUCCGCAUGUGGGAUCCAAACCUGUGGACCACGGGCCACCGAAGUGGAGUGCACGAACUUAGCUACUACGCCACCGGGCCGGCCCCUAAAGGAUUAGUUUUUAAUUGUAGACUCAAUAUCUGUUGCCACCAUAGCUUUUAUUAUGAUUUGUUUCAACAGAAUUCUUUAAAUCAGUGGUUAAACUUUCUAAUAUCAUAAGAAUCAAUGUUAAAAUUGCUUUUCUAUCUGAUUGUGAGAUUCUAGUCCAAAGGUCUUAAAGUCCUCUCAUUAAAUUUAGAUUUCCAUUCGUAAAUUAAUUCUAAUGGACAAAAUUUGUUGUAAUUUUUAUUUGGAUGUUUCUUAAAGUGACCUUUACAUCUCACUGUAGAGUUGGCCUUUUGCCCAUGGUGUGCUAGCAGAUUUUGGCUGAAGCUAAGCUUUGCUGGUCUGAGUCCUGUUUUUAAAAGAUAAUUGCUUUUGAAUUAAGUUAUAGCAUUACCAAUUCACAUCAUGAUGAGGAAGCCUUCUCCAAAUUACUAGAUUUUUCAAAUUGGCAGGUGAGUGAACAAAUACAACUUAGAAGACAAAAAAUCAGUUAGGCAAAAUGUGCUUUCUUAAUUUCUGUUCAUGAUGAAGUAUAAUUACAACAUAUUUGUGACAGUACUUCAUGGCGUACGAGCAGAAGCAUUAUAGUACCAAGAAGAAAGCACUGAUGUCCCUGUGAGAGCUCAUGCCUCGGUCUGUAGUGUAAAAUCUGGGUGGACAAGUAAGGAGCUGCUAUAGCAGACGGUGACGUUGGCAGGUAGAGAAUGCAGGAGCUUUCACGUUGCCUCAAAGGAUUUUUAAUCAGUUUUUUCAAAAAUCAGAGAAAACUGACUUUAUAAACACUUACCAUUUAACUCCUUUUCUAUCUGCUUUGCCUUUCAUCUUUUCCUGGAUUUUCAAGCAGAGAAUGAAUGAAUAUUUUAUUACGACUUUGUAAAAGGUGUCAGUGCUCUACCUUUAUUUUGCUGUUUGAAGUAUGACUUUUUCUUAAUACUGUUUUGAGUCAGUGUGAGUUUACAAAGCAGGAGCAUGCGCCUGCAGCCGCGGGCUCUCCGCGCUCCCUGCACCUGGGCCCCCGAGACUCACCUCAGAGCAGAGUUUGCUGGACAGGCCUUUUCUGUCAGUACACAGUUCAUCAACUCUCCUAAAGUGUUUUGCAGUGCAUAUUUUUAUAUUGAAUAGCAGAGAAAAAAUAAAUAAGAUUUAUGUAAAAUGUA
Molecule: RNA transcript, 4620 nt
Organism: Equus caballus (horse)
Lineage: Eukaryota; Metazoa; Chordata; Mammalia; Perissodactyla; Equidae
Gene: PIGN
Gene name: phosphatidylinositol glycan anchor biosynthesis class N
Source: RefSeq, a predicted model, not a curated record